AAGAACCCAUUAAGUCUCCCUCGUUGGGAGGAUCGCCUUGUGGAUUGGCAUACAGAGAGACACAGGGGAAGUAUGUGGGGUUUAGGAGUAACAGCAGUAAUGCUCACAAUGGAGUUCUUGGAGGUAGCCAUGAACACUGUAAACAAAGCAGCCCUGGGUAAAGGCAUGAGUCAAUUUAUACUUGUGGUGUAUUCUAAUAUGAUUGGGGUACUCUUGCUUCUUUCAUCUUCCUUCAUCUUCUACAGGCAAGUAUAAUCGGCAGAUCUUUUCCAUUUCUUUGUUGCUCUUCUUACUUUUUCCUUUCAUUCAGCAGAAAAAGAAUCGCUCCACCGCUUACAUGGUUCAUAACGGGAAGAAUUUUUGUUCUUGGUCUGCUCUGCUUCGCCGGUCAGGUGUUUACCUACAUUGGGUUAGGAUACAGCUCCCCAACUCUGGCCUCGGCGAUGACUGAUUUAACUCCAGCUUUUACUUUCAUACUUGGACUCGUCUCCAGCUCUGCACUGUAUGGAUGUUGCCUUGGCAUGUGGAGGUCUUUGAUCAACACCGGGCAUAUGAAAUUAAUACUUGGCAUGAAAUCAGUUCAGCAAAUUGCAUGAAAAGGGAACCUGAUGAAUUGGAUAGUUUGCUUGAUUUUUAGUAUUGAAUCAUGAGGCUAAACAAUUCUCAAAUGGACCUCCAAUCUAAGGACACUCUGGAGACUGGAGAUCCUGGUUUACUCCCUAAGAAUACCAGAACAAUACCAUUACUAUAAUAUUUCUGUUCAACAACAAAUGAAGUUACAUGUGCACUCAAAUUUCUUUUUCCUCUUUUAAGAAAGGACUAAUGAGGCUUGGUUCAAAUUUGGUUUUAGGAUGGAAAGGCUGGACUUGCGAAGCAAAAGCAGUCAGGCCAAAUCUAUUGGCACCAUGGUAUUGAUCACAGGGGGAUUAGUCCUGACUUUAUACAAAGGUCUGCCAAUUACAGGCUCUCCAUCAUCAGGUAAUAAAUUGCAGAAUGAGCUGCUUCUUUUGCCUUCAUCAAAUUGGGCCAUUGGAGGUUUUUUUCUUGCAGCUCAUAGUUUCUUCCUGGCGCUAAUUUUUAUUUUCCAGACAUGGAUAAUCAGGGACUACCCAUCGGAGAUUCUCAUUACACUCGUUAGCUGUAUCUUUGUGACCAUCCUAUCAGCCACUGUCUCUCUGAUCGCAGAGGAAGAUCCAAAUGCCUGGCGAAUAAGGCCCAAUAUUGAGUUGGUAGCUAUUGGGUACUCGGCAGCUUUUGCAGUAUCACUUCGAAGCAUUGUUCAUACAUGGGCAUGCCACAAGAAAGGGCCUGUCUACACUUCCAUGUUUAAACCAAUUGGGAUGGUUAUCGCAGUACUCAUGGGGGUGUCUUUUCUGGGGGAUACUCUCUAUCUUGGAAGUAUGAUAGGAGCUAUUAUUAUUGCCUUGGGGUUUUAUGCUGUGGUAUGGGGCAAAAGCCAAGAAGAAAGGAUGGUUGAAGACAAAGAGAAGUGUUGCUUGGAGUCAUCUUCCCCGAAAGUCCCUCUUCUGCAGAACAAAUGCACAAAUAUAUAGAGAAUUUUUGCAUGAAAUGCGCUCACACGCACACACACACACACAUAUAUAUAGACUUCUCCAUCUAGGGUCACUUCCACAAAUAGUAGUAGUCUUUCAACACAAAGUUGUGGCCCAACCCUUGUUUCUGAGAUGCAGCAACCAAGCUUACAGCCAAUCCCAGUUGUCCAGAUAUGUCUUCUGACUUCGCAUGAAUGCAUUCAUUGGCUAUCCCAUGCCUUUUCAUCCAGCAACUCACCCAUCUUUGUAACAUUUUCAUUUUACUACCAGAUUACUAUGCUUCUUGACUAUUGAAUUUCAUGUUAUCAGUACAUUCACAAAGAACUAUAGAGCAUGAAAAUGAAUCAGCAAUGAUCAAGAAAUCGAGUGACAUUAAAGUCUAUAGUUAACAAUAUCUCACUGCUAAUUUUGUUGUUUUAUAACCACAGAGCAGAUUCUAAAUCUGCCACAUUAACAGAGACAUGCUGAAGUAUGGAAAAUAUAUUAGAAUAGCUCAGGUACUCUACAUCAUUAAAAUAGAAGGAAGAAAAUAACAGUAACUAAAAGCACAUGCAAACUAAGAAUGUCAAGAGUAGACAGAAAACUUCUAUGACAGGGGUAACUGGCACCCAUAUAUAGAGAGAACAAAACAUUAUGAAAAGACUGCUGAAAGUGCUAACAAAGAAAGUUCAAAUGAUAUUUCAAGAUUCAUUAUUGUUCAAUUAAGUUAUUCAUGAAACCAUUCACCACCUGACAAAUCAGUAGCAUCUUAAAAGAAUUGUGGAAAUUGUUAAGCAUCUUAUAAGAUCAUUGUCUCCCUGAAUAUAAAGUUAGGUUAUAUGGGAAAUUCAUUGAAGUAGACAUCUUUAGAAUUACCUUGUUCCAAAUUUUAAAUAAGGCAUGUGAAAAGGGUUAGAUUCGUUAGAAAUGAGGGAAAACUGGCACCCCUUUUCUACAAUGUUUGCCCAAUUAAAUCACAAACAGCCAACUAUAAGAACAAUCUCCUGUCAGAGACAUGCAAAGUACAUUAAACUUAUAGUAAAUUGGAUAAAAAAUACUGUUAAACAGUUGUGAUUCUUAGGUGAUUUGAUGAUUGUUGUUGAAAUUGUAGAAAGAUACAUGCAAGCAAAAUAUCCUUGGGCAUAUCAGACAGCUCACAUCAAUUUGCAUAUGUUGCUUUAGAAAGACCUUUGGAAAAAUUGCCACCAGUUGUCCUUUUUCUUCAGCCUUAGAAAUUGAAUGACAUCAUUAACCAAAUAUGUUAUUAUUAGUGGUUGUCUUGAUUAGAAAGCACAUCCUGUUUAUACUUCAGCCUUAGAAAUUGAAUGACAUCAUUAACCAAAUAUGUUAUUAUUAGUGGUUGUCUUGAUUAGAAAGCACAUCCUGUUUAUACUUCAGCCUUAGAAAUUGAAUGACAUCAUUAACCAAAUAUGUUAUUAUUAGUGGUUGUCUUGAUUAGAAAGCACAUCCUGUUUAU
Molecule: unclassified non-coding RNA, 3009 nt
Filed under: Hevea brasiliensis (rubber tree)
Lineage: Eukaryota; Viridiplantae; Streptophyta; Magnoliopsida; Malpighiales; Euphorbiaceae
Source: RNAcentral